UUCCGGUUGAUCCCGCCGGACCCGACUGCUAUUUGGGUGAGGAUAAGCCAUGCGAGUUGAAUGGGAAACCUAAAAAUCCCAUGGCAAACUGCUCAGUAACACAUGAUCAACUUACCCUAUAGAGGAAAAUAACCUCGGGAAACUGAGGAUAAUGUUCCAUAGUUGAAUCGGCUUGGAAAAGUUUUUCAAUAAAAGGGAUAAGGAAAAUGGUCCUUAUCUGCUAUAGGAUAGGAUCGUGCUCGAUUAUGGUUGUUGGUGAGGUAAAGGCUCACCAAGCCGAUAAUCGAUAGGGGCCGUGAGAGCGGGAGCCCCGAGAUGGGUACUGAGACAACGACCCAGGCCUUACGAGGCGCAGCAGGCGCGAAACCUCCGCAAUACACGAAAGUGUGACGGGGUUACCCAAAGUGUUCAUUAGAACUGUGGUAGGUGAGUAAUGUUCCCUACUAGAAAGGAGAGGGCAAGGCUGGUGCCAGCCGCCGCGGUAAAACCAGCUCUUCAAGUGGUCGGGAUAAUUAUUGGGCUUAAAGUGUCCGUAGCCGGUUUAGUAAGUUCCUGGUAAAAUCGGGUAGCUUAACUAUCUAUAUGCUAGGAAUACUGCUAUACUAGAGGGCGGGAGAGGUCUGAGGUACUACAGGGGUAGGGGUGAAAUCUUAUAAUCCUUGUAGGACCACCAGUGGCGAAGGCGUCAGACUGGAACGCGCCUGACGGUGAGGGACGAAAGCCAGGGGAGCGAACCGGAUUAGAUACCCGGGUAGUCCUGGCCGUAAACGAUGCAUACUAGGUGAUGGCACGGCCAUGAGCCGUGUCAGUGCCGUAGGGAAACCGUUAAGUGUGCCGCCUGGGAAGUACGGUCGCAAGGCUAAAACUUAAAGGAAUUGGCGGGGGAGCACCACAAAGGGUGAAGCCUGCGGUUCAAUUGGAUUCAACGCCGGGAAUCACUAGUGCGGCCG
Molecule: ribosomal RNA, 950 nt
Filed under: uncultured archaeon
Lineage: Archaea
Description: bacterial SSU rRNA
Rfam family: Archaeal small subunit ribosomal RNA
Source: RNAcentral